CAAAGAGUCGAGUUGUUUGGGAAUGCAGCUCAAAAUGGGUGGUAAGCUCCAUCUAAAGCUAAAUAUUGGCGAGAGACCGAUAGCGAACAAGUACCGUGAGGGAAAGAUGAAAAGCACUUUGGAAAGAGAGUUAAACAGUACGUGAAAUUGUUGAAAGGGAAACGCUUGAAGUUAGUCGCGUCUUACUUGACUCAGCCUUGCCUCGGCUUGGUGUAUUUCAUGUGAGACGGGUCAACAUCGAUUUUGACCGGCAGAGAAGGGGAGCGAGAAUGUGGCAUUCUUCGGAGUGUGUUAUAGCUUACUCUCAUAUGUGUCGGUUGGGAUCGAGGCCCGCAGCGCGCCCUUGUGGCCGGAGGUUCGCCUUACGUUACGCGCUUAGGAUGUUGGCAUAAUGGCUUUAAGCGACCCGUCUUGAAACACGGACCAAGGAGUCUAACAUGCUCGCGAGUGUUAGGGUGGAAAACCCUUGCGCAGAAUGAAAGUAAAAGUUGGGAACCUCCGCAAGGGGGUGCACCGACGCCCGGCCCAGAAGUUUACGGACGGUGCUGCGGUAGAGCGCGUAUGUGGGACCCGAAAGAUGGUGAACUAUGCCUGAAUAGGGCGAAGCCAGGGGAAACCCUGUGUGGAGGCUCG
Molecule: ribosomal RNA, 633 nt
Filed under: Fuscoporia formosana
Lineage: Eukaryota; Fungi; Basidiomycota; Agaricomycetes; Hymenochaetales; Hymenochaetaceae
Description: partial large subunit ribosomal RNA
Rfam family: Eukaryotic large subunit ribosomal RNA
Source: RNAcentral